This 507-nucleotide ribosomal RNA is filed under the name Coleodactylus meridionalis. Its description in RNAcentral is "partial 16S ribosomal RNA". It matches the Rfam family "Bacterial large subunit ribosomal RNA", at positions 1823 to 2634 of the family's 2925-position model. The record is from RNAcentral. Lineage: Eukaryota; Metazoa; Chordata; Lepidosauria; Squamata; Sphaerodactylidae.
UAGCCACCAGAGUAUUAAAGGUAACGCCUGCCCAGUGAAAACUUUAAACGGCCGCGGUAUCCUAACCGUGCAAAGGUAGCGUAAUAACUUGUCUUUUAAAUAAAGACUAGCAUGAAUGGCUAAAUGAGGACCUAACUGUCUUCUAAGACCAAUCAAUGAACCUGAUCUUUCAGUACAAAAGCUGAAAUUACAACAUAAGACGAGAAGACCCUGCGGAGCUUUAAAAACUCCACUUUUUAAGUUGGGGCGACUACGGAAAUAAAAAAAACCUCCACGACAGGACUAACAACCCAAAAAAGGAACCACACACCAACCAAGCUGACCAACGAACCAAGUUACCCCAGGGGUAACAGCGCCAUCCUCUUCAAGAGCCCCUAUCGCCAAGAGGGUUUACGACCUCGAUGUUGGAUCAGGACCCCCUAGUGGCGCAGCCGCUACUAAAGGUUCGUUUGUUCAACGACUAAUGUCCUACGUGAUCUGAGUUCAGACCGGAGCAAUCCAGGUCGU